GAUGAACGCUGGCGGCGUGCCUAAUACAUGCAAGUAGAACGCUGAAGGAGGAGCUUGCUCUUCUGGAUGAGUUGCGAACGGGUGAGUAACGCGUAGGUAACCUGCCUGUUAGCGGGGGAUAACUAUUGGAAACGAUAGCUAAUACCGCAUAACAGUAGAUGUUGCAUGACAUUUACUUAAAAGGUGCAAUUUCAUCACUACCAGAUGGACCUGCGUUGUAUUAGCUAAUUGUUGGGGGAACGGCUCACCACGGCGACGAUACAUAGCCGCCCGCAGAGGGUGAUCGGCCCACCUGGGAAUGGGACCCGGCCCAGACUCCUACGGGAGGCAGCAGUAGGGAAUCUUCGGCAAUGGACGGAAGUCUGACCGAGCAACGCCGCGUGAGUGAAGAAGGUUUUCGGAUCGUAAAGAUCUGUUGUAAGGGAAGAACGAGUGUGAGAGUGGAAAGUUCACACUGUGACGGUAUCUUACCAGAAAGGGACGGCUAACUACGUG
RNAcentral lists this ribosomal RNA (495 nucleotides) under uncultured bacterium. Its description in RNAcentral is "partial 16S ribosomal RNA". It matches the Rfam family "Bacterial small subunit ribosomal RNA", at positions 28 to 507 of the family's 1533-position model. The record is from RNAcentral.